Molecule: ribosomal RNA, 252 nt
Filed under: uncultured bacterium
Lineage: Bacteria
Description: partial 16S ribosomal RNA
Rfam family: Bacterial small subunit ribosomal RNA
Source: RNAcentral
UACGGAGGAUGCGAGCGUUAUCCGGAUUUGUUGGGUUUAAAGGGUGCGUAGGCGGAUCGUUAAGUCAGUGGUCAAAUUGAGGGGCUCAACCCCUUCCCGCCAUUGAAACUGGCGAUCUUGAGUGGAAGAGAAGUAUGCGGAAUGCGUGGUGUAGCGGUGAAAUGCGUAGAUAUCACGCAGAACCCCGAUUGCGAAGGCAGCAUGCCGGCUUCCGACUGACGCUGAAGCACGAAAGCGUGGGGAUCGAACAGG